GAUGAACGCUGGCGGCGUGCCUAAUACAUGCAAGUCGAGCGAACGGACGCGGAUCUUGCUUCGCUGAUGUUAGCGGCGCACGGGUGAGUAACACGUGGAUCACCUACCUAUCAGACUGGGAUCACUUCGGGAAACCGGCGCUAAUACCGGAUGAUAUUUUGAACCGCAUGGUUCAAAAGUGAGAGACGGUCUUGCUGUCACUUAUAGAUGGAUCCGCGCUGCAUUAGCUAGUUGUUAAGGUAACGGCUUACCAAGGCAACGAUGCCUAGCCGACCUGAGAGGGUGAUCGGCGGCACGGGAGCGUAGACACGGACCAGGCGCCUAAGGGAGGCAGCAGUAGGGAAUCUGACGCAAUGGGCGAAAGCCUUGCGGAGCAAGGGCGCGUGAGUGAUGAAGGUCUUCGGAUCGGGAUACUCUGUUAUUAGGGAAGAACAUAUGUGUAAGUAACUGUGCACAGCUUGACGGUACCGAAUCAGAAAGCCACGGCUAACUACGUG
This 497-nucleotide ribosomal RNA is filed under the name uncultured bacterium. RNAcentral's name for it is "partial 16S ribosomal RNA". It matches the Rfam family "Bacterial small subunit ribosomal RNA", at positions 28 to 507 of the family's 1533-position model. The record is from RNAcentral.